RNAcentral lists this ribosomal RNA (2902 nucleotides) under Klebsiella pneumoniae. RNAcentral's name for it is "23S ribosomal RNA". It matches the Rfam family "Bacterial large subunit ribosomal RNA". Lineage: Bacteria; Pseudomonadati; Pseudomonadota; Gammaproteobacteria; Enterobacterales; Enterobacteriaceae. The record is from RNAcentral.
GGUUAAGCGACUAAGCGUACACGGUGGAUGCCCUGGCAGUCAGAGGCGAUGAAGGACGUGCUAAUCUGCGAAAAGCGUCGGUAAGGUGAUAUGAACCGUUAUAGCCGGCGAUGUCCGAAUGGGGAAACCCAGUGCAAUUCGUUGCACUAUCGUUAACUGAAUACAUAGGUUAACGAGGCGAACCGGGGGAACUGAAACAUCUAAGUACCCCGAGGAAAAGAAAUCAACCGAGAUUCCCCCAGUAGCGGCGAGCGAACGGGGAGCAGCCCAGAGUCUGAAUCAGCUUGUGUGUUAGUGGAACGGUCUGGAAAGUCCGACGGUACAGGGUGAUAGUCCCGUACACCAAAAUGCACAGGUUGUGAACUCGAAGAGUAGGGCGGGACACGUGGUAUCCUGUCUGAAUAUGGGGGGACCAUCCUCCAAGGCUAAAUACUCCUGACUGACCGAUAGUGAACCAGUACCGUGAGGGAAAGGCGAAAAGAACCCCGGCGAGGGGAGUGAAAAAGAACCUGAAACCGUGUACGUACAAGCAGUGGGAGCACCUUCGGGUGUGACUGCGUACCUUUUGUAUAAUGGGUCAGCGACUUAUAUUCUGUAGCAAGGUUAACCGUAUAGGGGAGCCGCAGGGAAACCGAGUCUUAACUGGGCGUUAAGUUGCAGGGUAUAGACCCGAAACCCGGUGAUCUAGCCAUGGGCAGGUUGAAGGUUGGGUAACACUAACUGGAGGACCGAACCGACUAAUGUUGAAAAAUUAGCGGAUGACUUGUGGCUGGGGGUGAAAGGCCAAUCAAACCGGGAGAUAGCUGGUUCUCCCCGAAAGCUAUUUAGGUAGCGCCUCGUGAACUCAUCUUCGGGGGUAGAGCACUGUUUCGGCUAGGGGGUCAUCCCGACUUACCAACCCGAUGCAAACUACGAAUACCGAAGAAUGUUAUCACGGGAGACACACGGCGGGUGCUAACGUCCGUCGUGAAGAGGGAAACAACCCAGACCGCCAGCUAAGGUCCCAAAGUCAUGGUUAAGUGGGAAACGAUGUGGGAAGGCACAGACAGCCAGGAUGUUGGCUUAGAAGCAGCCAUCAUUUAAAGAAAGCGUAAUAGCUCACUGGUCGAGUCGGCCUGCGCGGAAGAUGUAACGGGGCUAAACCAUGCACCGAAGCUGCGGCAGCGACACUAUGUGUUGUUGGGUAGGGGAGCGUUCUGUAAGCCUGCGAAGGUGUGCUGUGAGGCAUGCUGGAGGUAUCAGAAGUGCGAAUGCUGACAUAAGUAACGAUAAAGCGGGUGAAAAGCCCGCUCGCCGGAAGACCAAGGGUUCCUGUCCAACGUUAAUCGGGGCAGGGUGAGUCGACCCCUAAGGCGAGGCCGAAAGGCGUAGUCGAUGGGAAACAGGUUAAUAUUCCUGUACUUGGUGUUACUGCGAAGGGGGGACGGAGAAGGCUAUGUUAGCCGGGCGACGGUUGUCCCGGUUUAAGCAUGUAGGCUGGUUGUCCAGGCAAAUCCGGAUAAUCAAGGCUGAGGUGUGAUGACGAGGCACUACGGUGCUGAAGUAACAAAUGCCCUGCUUCCAGGAAAAGCCUCUAAGCAUCAGGUAACAUCAAAUCGUACCCCAAACCGACACAGGUGGUCAGGUAGAGAAUACCAAGGCGCUUGAGAGAACUCGGGUGAAGGAACUAGGCAAAAUGGUGCCGUAACUUCGGGAGAAGGCACGCUGGUGUGUAGGUGAAGCCCCUGCGGGUGGAGCUGAGACCAGUCGAAGAUACCAGCUGGCUGCAACUGUUUAUUAAAAACACAGCACUGUGCAAACACGAAAGUGGACGUAUACGGUGUGACGCCUGCCCGGUGCCGGAAGGUUAAUUGAUGGGGUUAUCCGUAAGGAGAAGCUCUUGAUCGAAGCCCCGGUAAACGGCGGCCGUAACUAUAACGGUCCUAAGGUAGCGAAAUUCCUUGUCGGGUAAGUUCCGACCUGCACGAAUGGCGUAAUGAUGGCCAGGCUGUCUCCACCCGAGACUCAGUGAAAUUGAACUCGCUGUGAAGAUGCAGUGUACCCGCGGCAAGACGGAAAGACCCCGUGAACCUUUACUAUAGCUUGACACUGAACAUUGAGCCUUGAUGUGUAGGAUAGGUGGGAGGCUUUGAAGCGUGGACGCCAGUCUGCGUGGAGCCAACCUUGAAAUACCACCCUUUAAUGUUUGAUGUUCUAACGUUGGCCCCUGACCGGGGUUGCGGACAGUGUCUGGUGGGUAGUUUGACUGGGGCGGUCUCCUCCCAAAGCGUAACGGAGGAGCACGAAGGUUAGCUAAUCCUGGUCGGACAUCAGGAGGUUAGUGCAAUGGCAUAAGCUAGCUUGACUGCGAGCGUGACGGCGCGAGCAGGUGCGAAAGCAGGUCAUAGUGAUCCGGUGGUUCUGAAUGGAAGGGCCAUCGCUCAACGGAUAAAAGGUACUCCGGGGAUAACAGGCUGAUACCGCCCAAGAGUUCAUAUCGACGGCGGUGUUUGGCACCUCGAUGUCGGCUCAUCACAUCCUGGGGCUGAAGUAGGUCCCAAGGGUAUGGCUGUUCGCCAUUUAAAGUGGUACGCGAGCUGGGUUUAGAACGUCGUGAGACAGUUCGGUCCCUAUCUGCCGUGGGCGCUGGAGAAUUGAGGGGGGCUGCUCCUAGUACGAGAGGACCGGAGUGGACGCAUCACUGGUGUUCGGGUUGUCAUGCCAAUGGCACUGCCCGGUAGCUAAAUGCGGAAGAGAUAAGUGCUGAAAGCAUCUAAGCACGAAACUUGCCCCGAGAUGAGUUCUCCCUGAGACUUUAAGUCUCCUGAAGGAACGUUGAAGACGACGACGUUGAUAGGCCGGGUGUGUAAGCGCAGCGAUGCGUUGAGCUAACCGGUACUAAUGAACCGUGAGGCUUAACCUU